Glycine soja is the source of this 3001-nucleotide long non-coding RNA. RefSeq lists it as uncharacterized. The transcript has 2 exons. Lineage: Eukaryota; Viridiplantae; Streptophyta; Magnoliopsida; Fabales; Fabaceae. The record is from RefSeq and is a predicted model, not a curated record.
UUUUAUAUUUACCUCUCUUCAGCUUACUAAGUAAGCUAAGUUUUCUAAUAUAAUAGCGUCAAAGUGUGGAGAACACACUAGACGAUUUCCAUUCAAUCAUCUCUGGUUACAUUCAAGUUGGUUUCAUUCCGCUCUGCCUGAUUAUCACUGGUGCCACCGUCCGCAGUCAGUCCGCCGCCGCCGACGAUAACUCUGGCGAAACCAGGGUUUCAUACGCCUCAAUGAGAGCGACCUAUCCCCGCAAGUCACGCGCUCCAAAAGUCUGCCACGCGCCAUCACGCACAGCUUCCCCACGGCGCCUUUCUUGGAGCGUAUGAUCCACGCGCCAUCUUUUGCCAAUCAGAAUCGUGCUCUGACAGUCCAGAAAGGUUCGCCGGACCUAUCCGGGCCCAGAUGUACUCUCGAAUCUUCAUUAUCUCUCUUCAACGCUGGUGUUUCUUCAGGUUGGGAAAUUUGAAGGUUCCGUUUGUGCGAAUCUUCUGUCUCUGUCUCUUGUUGUGAGGUGGCCUCCACAAAUCCUUCUGGAUCUUCCUCCUCCAUCGUUCCCACUGUCAGUUCUACUGUGGGUCCCACUGUUUUGUUUUCUGGGACACCAGUCAUAACCUCAGAAAAGCUGAAUGGCAGCAAAAACUACUUGUCCUGGUCCUUUUCUGUGGAACUUUGGUUCCUUGGCCAAGGACAUCAAAAGCACUUAGAGAAGCAAGUUACUGAAAUAUCUGCAGAAAAACAAGAACAAUGGAAACAACUUGAUUUCCAGCUUUGUGCCUUGCUGUGGCAGUCAGUAGAGCCAAACAUCUUAGUGACCUUAAGGUCUUUCAAAAUAUGUUACUUCUUUUGGAAGAAGGCCCAACAGAUUUUUGCCAAUGAUAUUCAGAGAUUGUAUGAUGCAGUUGACAAAUUGACCUCUCUUAAACAAACAGAUCAUGAUAUGACCUCAUUUGUAGCACAGUUUAAGUCUGCAGUUGAAGAAUUAAGAAUGUUCCAAGAUGUUGAGUAAGUGGAAGAAAUGAGAAAAAGCAUGAUAACCUGAGAGUGUUGUUAGGUGCACCCAACAUUAUUGUUGAUGCACUCAGCAUUUUUUAAAAAUGGCUAAAUUACCCCUACCUUCUAUAUCCCUUUACGGAUCAAGUUAAUCCGCAAGUUGAUUUUUAAAACUUACGGAUCAAAUUGAUCUGUAAGAAGCUUGCGGAUCAAGUUGAUCCGUAAGUCUUUUAUGAAUCAACUUGAUCCGUAAGUCUUAAAAAUCAACUUGCGGAUCAUCUAUAUCAACUGCGGAUCAACUAAAACCUAUGCGGAUCAACCUGAAUGAGCUGGGUGCACAAAAACAUUUUUAAAAAUACACAGGGGUAUUUUUGCCUUUUCACGUUAAGUGCUAGGUGCAUAGCAAUAAUGUUGGGUGCACCUAGCAACACCCUAACCUGGAUAUGGUGCUGGCCUUUCGGGCCAUGAACCCAGAUUUUGAUCAUAUUCGUGAUUAAGUUUUGACUAAUCAAGAAGUUCCCUCAAUGGAGAGUCUUCUUGCACAUCUCCUUCAUGUUCCUAAUCCAAGAAAGAAUGAAAAUUCACUUGAGCUUACUGAAUCUUCAGCAAUGGUGUCCAAUCGAGGAAGAGGAGGUCGUGGAAAUCGUGGACGUGGAGGACAUGGUGGUGGAAGAAAUGGUUAGCUUUAUUGCACACUUUGUAAGAUAAAGGGCCACACUCGAGACUCCUGCGAUAUAGUUGGUUGGCAUGAGAAAACAACAAAUGUCUCCACAUCGAAAACACAUGGGCCAAAGUUUUCUUACGAGGAGUAUCAAGAGUACCUCUGACUGAAGUUUAACAGUCAGGCUCAAUCAUGCUCAUGCCCAAGUACUUAAAAAGCUUGCAUCGCUCACUCUGUGGAUGGUCAAGAUCCAAGGGAACGUGAUACAAGUUGGUUGAUUGGCGUAGAACAUGAAUCCAGAGGUCUCUACUAUUUGGAAAUCAGUUCAUCAAUGUCUUGAUUUGCGACUCCGUCUCCUAAGCUUUUGCACAAUCACUUGGGUCAUCCACACUUGUUGAAGCUGAAGAUGGUUCCUAGUCUCAACAAACUUCAAGUCUUAGAGUGUGAGUCAUGUCAGUUAGGAAAACAUGUUAGGUUUUUUCCAAAAAGAACUGAAACAAGAUGUAGCUCUGUUUUUUCCACCAUUCCCUCUGAUAUUUGGGGUCCAAGCUGUGUCACAUCUUUUGGUUUCAGAUAUUUUGUUACCUUUAUUGAUGAAUAUUCCAAAUGUACUUGGGUUUAUUUAAUGAAAGAUCAAUCUGAACUUUUGUCUAUAUUUAUGUCUUUUUUUAAUGAAAUCAAGACCCAAUUUGGAAAAGUGAUUAACAUUCUCAACAGUGAUAAUGCCAAAGAGUAUUUCUCCUCUAAUCUCUCUUCAUUGAUGGAAAUCUGAUUUCUUGGAAGAGCAAAAAACAGAACGUUGUUGCUUGGUCUAAUGCAGAAGUUGAGUAUAGAGCAAUGGCCUCAACUACUUGUGAACUUAUGUGGAUCAAGCAAGUUCUUCAGGAACUUAAGUUUUGUGAAGUUCAGCAGAUGCAGCUCUAUUGUGAUAAUCAGGAAGCGCUUCAUAUUGCCUCUAAUCCAGUAUUUCAUGAAAGAAUCAAGCACAUAGAAGUUGACCUCCACUUUGUUCGAGAGAAGCUAAUGGCUAAGGAAAUUAGUACAGAAAAAAAUUGGCUCUAAUGAUCAACUCGCAGAUAUUUUGACUAAGUCAUUAAGGGGGCCUAGGAUUCAAUUUUUGUGUUCCAAGCUUGGCGCCUAUAAUUUAUAUGCUUCAGCAAGUUCAGCUUGAGGGGGAAUGUUGGAAAAUAGUUCAUGAUGUACCUAGAGUGGUAGCUUACAUUUUAUUUUUGUCUUUUGUAUACCUGCUGUACCAGCUCUGUAUUUUGUACUUACCUCUCUUCAGCUUACUGAGUAAGCUUAGUUUGCUAAUAUAAUAGAACCUAAGUGUGGAGAACACAUUAGAGGAUUUUCAUUCAA